UACGUAGGGUGCGAGCGUUAAUCGGAAUUACUGGGCGUAAAGCGUGCGCAGGCGGUUGUGCAAGCCAGAUGUGAAAUCCCCGGGCUUAACCUGGGAACUGCAUUUGUGACUGCACGGCUAGAGUGUGUCAGAGGGGGGUAGAAUUCCACGUGUAGCAGUGAAAUGCGUAGAUAUGUGGAGGAAUACCGAUGGCGAAGGCAGCCCCCUGGGAUAACACUGACGCUCAUGCACGAAAGCGUGGGGAGCAAACAGG
RNAcentral lists this ribosomal RNA (253 nucleotides) under uncultured bacterium. RNAcentral's name for it is "partial 16S ribosomal RNA". It matches the Rfam family "Bacterial small subunit ribosomal RNA", at positions 524 to 776 of the family's 1533-position model. The record is from RNAcentral.